UACGUAGGGGGCAAGCGUUGUCCGGAAUCAUUGGGCGUAAAGAGCGUGUAGGCGGCCCGAUAAGUCCGCUGUGAAAGUCCAGGGCUCAACCCUGGGAUGCCGGUGGAUACUGUCGGGCUCGAGUCCGGAAGAGGAGUGUGGAAUUCCUGGUGUAGCGGUGAAAUGCGCAGAUAUCAGGAGGAACACCGGUGGCGAAGGCGGGUCUCUGGGCCGAAAUUGACGCUGAGGAGCGAAAGCGUGGGGAGCAAACAGG
RNAcentral lists this ribosomal RNA (253 nucleotides) under uncultured bacterium. RNAcentral describes it as "partial 16S ribosomal RNA". It matches the Rfam family "Bacterial small subunit ribosomal RNA", at positions 524 to 776 of the family's 1533-position model. The record is from RNAcentral.